Long non-coding RNA from Acanthopagrus latus (yellowfin seabream), 706 nucleotides. RefSeq lists it as uncharacterized. The transcript is spliced from 4 exons. The record is from RefSeq and is a predicted model, not a curated record. Lineage: Eukaryota; Metazoa; Chordata; Actinopteri; Spariformes; Sparidae.
AUUUAGCAUGAACGAAGAUGAAGUGACAUCGUUCCUCCCAGAUUUCUGUGGAAUUUGUCUCAUGUUUCUAAGUUGCAUUUCAUGUGCGAUAAGACCGACCACUGCAGGGGCGAUUUAAGGCUUUCAGAAGAAAUUGGCUCAUGUUAGAUGUUUCAACCGAAUCCUAUUUGUAAAAUCCUCCCGACUGUGUAUAAAUUACUGUAAUAGUGGAUAUUCUUUGACCCCAGCUGGUUCCUGCUUAAUAGACUGAUUACAUCAUCAACAGAGGAAGGGGAUGCUUUGAAACUACAGCAGAUGCUGAAAUCCACAAACUUCAGAGAAACACAUGAUGUUUGUCAGCGAAAGCAAAGGAAGAUCCGCAAAGACUCGGCAGGUCCAGGUGGAUCUGACAGCUGGCUGUGAUGGAAACUACUGAGGGAGACAGAUCGAAUAAAUGAGAGGAAGGAGAGCAGAGAGGCAGGGAGGAGAGGGUUUGGAAUGCAGCCGAGGAGCCAAAUAAAGGGAUCGGAAAACUAAAACUUAAGGCUGUGCACCAGAUGUUGGAACCUGGCUGCAGGGAUUUGUUCAUAUUCAGCCAUUAGAGAAUCACUGAGGUCCAACUCUGAUGCUGAAAGAUGAAGACUUGGCUUCUUCCCAAAGCUGUUGGACUGGAUCGAGAUCAGGAUCAGGGUUCUGUGCAGAGUUCUUGGAAACCAAACUGGGAAAA